This 440-nucleotide ribosomal RNA is filed under the name uncultured bacterium. Its description in RNAcentral is "partial 16S ribosomal RNA". It matches the Rfam family "Bacterial small subunit ribosomal RNA", at positions 338 to 795 of the family's 1533-position model. The record is from RNAcentral.
CCUACGGGAGGCAGCAGUGGGGAAUAUUGCACAAUGGGGGAAACCCUGAUGCAGCGACGCCGCGUGAGUGAAGAAGUAAUUCGUUAUGUAAAGCUCUAUCAGCAGGGAAGAAGAUGACGAUACCUGAGUAAGAAGCCACGGCUAACUACGUGCCAGCAGCCGCGGUAAAACGUAGGGGGCAAGCGUUAACCGGCUUUACUGGUUGUAAAGGGAGCGUAGACGGCAGUGCAAGUCUGGAGGGAAGGGCGGGGGCUCAACCCGGGGAGUGCACUGGAAACUGGACGGCUAGAGUGCAGGAGAGGGAAGUGGAAUUCCUAGUGUAGCGGUGAAAUGCGUAGAUAUUAGGAGGAACACCAGUGGCGAAGGCGGCCUACUGGACUGUAACUGACGUUGAGGCGCGAAAGCGUGGGGAGCAAACAGGAUUAGAUACCCCUGUAGUC